RNAcentral lists this ribosomal RNA (157 nucleotides) under Aspergillus ochraceus. RNAcentral describes it as "5.8S ribosomal RNA". It matches the Rfam family "5.8S ribosomal RNA". From Rfam's summary of the family: 5.8S ribosomal RNA (5.8S rRNA) is a component of the large subunit of the eukaryotic ribosome. It is transcribed by RNA polymerase I as part of the 45S precursor that also contains 18S and 28S rRNA. The record is from RNAcentral. Lineage: Eukaryota; Fungi; Ascomycota; Eurotiomycetes; Eurotiales; Aspergillaceae.
AAACUUUCAACAAUGGAUCUCUUGGUUCCGGCAUCGAUGAAGAACGCACCGAAAUGCGAUAAUUAAUGUGAAUUGCAGAAUUCAGUGAAUCAUCGAGUCUUUGAACGCACAUUGCACCCCCUGGUAUUCCGGGGGGUAUGCCUGUCCGAGCGUCAUU